RNAcentral lists this ribosomal RNA (780 nucleotides) under uncultured bacterium. RNAcentral's name for it is "bacterial SSU rRNA". It matches the Rfam family "Bacterial small subunit ribosomal RNA", at positions 154 to 916 of the family's 1533-position model. The record is from RNAcentral.
AAAGGAGGGGCAAUACCGAAUAUUGUCCGGGACCGUGAAGGGUUUCGGGGAAAGGGAGGCCUCUGACACAAGCUUUCGCCUUAAGAUGAGCCCAUGGCCCAUCAGCUAGUUGGUAGGGUAAAGGCCUACCAAGGCUACGACGGGUCGCUGGUCUGAGAGGACGACCAGCCACACUGGCACUGAGAUACGGGCCAGACUCCUACGGGAGGCAGCAGUGAGGAAUAUUGCGCAAUGGGGGAAACCCUGACGCAGCAACGCCGCGUGUGGGAAGAAGGCCUUCGGGUCGUAAACCACUUUUACUCGGGACGAAAAAGGGAUAUCAAAUAAAUAUCCCCGAUGACGGUACCGUGAGAAUAAGCCACGGCUAACUCUGUGCCAGCAGCCGCGGUAAGACAGAGGUGGCAAGCGUUGUUCGGAAUUACUGGGCGUAAAGAGUCUGUAGGUGGUUUGUCAAGUCUUUGGUGAAAGGCCGUAGCUUAACUAUGGGAAUGCCAAAGAGACUGGCAGGCUGGAGGCUGGGAGAGGGAAGCGGAAUUUCUGGUGUAGCGGUGAAAUGCGUAGAUAUCAGAAGGAAGGCCGGUGGCGAAGGCGGCUUCCUGGAACAGUCCUGACACUGAGAGACGAAAGCGUGGGGAGCAACAGGAUUAGAUACCCUGGUAGUCCACGCCCUAAACGAUGGGUACUAAGUGUGGAGGGGUUAAACCUCCGUGCCGCAGCAACGCAGUAAGUACCCCGCCUGGGGAGUACGGCCGCAAGGUUGAAACUCAAAGGAAUUGACGG